AGUGAACGCUGGCGGUAGGCCUAACACAUGCAAGUCGAACGGCAGCACAGUAAGAGCUUGCUCUUACGGGUGGCGAGUGGCGGACGGGUGAGGAAUACAUCGGAAUCUACUUUUUCGUGGGGGAUAACGUAGGGAAACUUACGCUAAUACCGCAUACGACCUACGGGUGAAAGCAGGGGAUCUUCGGACCUUGCGCGAUUGAAUGAGCCGAUGUCGGAUUAGCCAGUUGGCGGGGUAAAGGCCCACCAAGGCGACGAUCCGUAGCUGGUCUGAGAGGAUGAUCAGCCACACUGGAACUGAGACACGGUCCAGGCUCCUACGGGAGGCAGCAGUGGGGAAUAUUGGACAAUGGGCGCAAGCCUGAUCCAGCCAUACCGCGUGGGUGAAGAAGGCCUUCGGGUUGUAAAGCCCUUUUGUUGGGAAAGAAAAGCAGCAGGUUAAUACCCCGCUGUUCUGACGGUACCCAAAGAAUAAGCACCGGCUAACUUCGUG
RNAcentral lists this ribosomal RNA (492 nucleotides) under uncultured bacterium. RNAcentral's name for it is "partial 16S ribosomal RNA". It matches the Rfam family "Bacterial small subunit ribosomal RNA", at positions 29 to 507 of the family's 1533-position model. The record is from RNAcentral.